AAACUUGAGAGUUUGAUCAUGGCUCAGAACGUACGCUGGCGGCACGCCUAACACAUGCAAGUCGAACGAAGUAGCAAUACUUAGUGGCAGACGGGUGAGUAACAUGUAGGUAUCUGCCCUUUGGCCUGGAAUAACACGAGGAAACUUGUGCUAAUACCGGAUAAGUCUUUACGGAGAAAGCUUUAUGCACCAUUGGAUGAGCCUGCACUUGAUUAGUUUGUUGGUGGGGUAAUGGCCUACCAAGACUGUGAUCAAUAGCUGAUUUGAGAGGAUGAUCAGCCACAUUGGGACUGAGACACGGCCCAAACUCCUACGGGAGGCAGCAGUGGGGAAUCUUGCACAAUGGAGGAAACUCUGAUGCAGCGAUGCCGCGUGAGUGAAGAAGGCCCUUGGGUUGUAAAGCUCUUUCGUCGGGGAAGAAAAUGACUGUACCCGAAUAAGAAGGUCCGGCUAACUUCGUGCCAGCAGCCGCGGUAAUACGAAGGGACCUAGCGUAGUUCGGAAUUACUGGGCUUAAAGAGUUCGUAGGUGGUUGAAAUAGUUAGUGGUGAAAUCCCAGAGCUUAACUCUGGAACUGCCAUUAAAACUUUUCAGCUAGAGUAUGAUAGAGGAAAGCAGAAUUUCUAGUGUAGAGGUGAAAUUCGUAGAUAUUAGAAAGAAUACCAAUUGCGAAGGCAGCUUUCUGGAUCAUUACUGACACUGAGGAACGAAAGCAUGGGUAGCGAAGAGGAUUAGAUACCCUCGUAGUCCAUGCCGUAAACGAUGUGUGUUAGACGUUGGAAAUUUAUUUUCAGUGUCGCAGGGAAACCGAUAAACACACCGCCUGGGGAGUACGACCGCAAGGUUAAAACUCAAAUGAAUUGACGGGGACCCGCACAAGUAGUGGAGCAUGUGGUUUAAUUCGAAGAUACGCGCAGAACCUUACCAACACUUGACAUGUUCGUCGCGACUCUAAGAGAUUAGAGUUUUCGGUUCGGCCGGACGAAACACAGGUGCUGCAUGGCUGUCGUCAGCUCGUGUCGUGAGAUGUUGGGUUAAGUCCCGCAACGAGCGCAACCCUCACUUUUAGUUGCCAUCAUUAAGUUGGGCACUCUGAAAGAACUGCCAGUGAUAAGCUGGAGGAAGGUGGGGAUGACGUCAAGUCCUCAUGGCCCUUACGUGUUGGGCUACACACGUGCUACAAUGGUAUCUACAACAGGAAGCAAGACUGCGAAGUUAAGCAAAUCCCUAAAAGAUACCUCAGUUCGGAUUGCACUCUGCAACUCGAGUGCAUGAAGCUGGAAUUACUAGUAAUCGUGGAUCAGCGUGCCACGGUGAAUGCGUUCCCGGGUCUUGUACACACCGCCCGUCACACCAUGGGAGUUGGUUCUACCUUAAGGCAAGGUUUCAAACCCUUGACCACGGUAUAGUCAGCGACUGGGGUGAAGUCGUAACAAGGUAGCCGUAGGGGAACCUGCGGCUGGAUUACCUCCUUU
RNAcentral lists this ribosomal RNA (1475 nucleotides) under Candidatus Pelagibacter sp. Its description in RNAcentral is "bacterial SSU rRNA". It matches the Rfam family "Bacterial small subunit ribosomal RNA". The record is from RNAcentral. Lineage: Bacteria; Pseudomonadati; Pseudomonadota; Alphaproteobacteria; Candidatus Pelagibacterales; Candidatus Pelagibacteraceae.